RNAcentral lists this ribosomal RNA (1901 nucleotides) under human gut metagenome. RNAcentral's name for it is "bacterial LSU rRNA". It matches the Rfam family "Bacterial large subunit ribosomal RNA", at positions 910 to 2829 of the family's 2925-position model. The record is from RNAcentral.
CUGAAUGGGCUAGGGGGCCACAAAGCUUACCGAACCCUAUCAAACUACGAAUACCAAGGAAUCGAUGAUCGGGAGUCAGACAGUGAGAGAUAAGUUCCAUUGUCGAGAGGGAAACAGCCCAGACCUACGACUAAGGUCCCAAAGUACACGUUAAGUGGAAAAGGAUGUGCAGUUGCACAGACAACCAGGAUGUUGGCUUAGAAGCAGCCACGCAUUUAAAGAGUGCGUAAUAGCUCACUGGUCGAGUGAAUGUGCGCCGAAAAUGUACCGGGGCUAAACGUGACACCGAAGUCUAGGGAUCAGAAAUGAUCGGUAGGGGAGCAACGUAUACGGGGUGAAGCCGAAGCGGGAGCGACGGUGGACUGUAUGGGAGAGAGAAUGCCGGCAUGAGUAGCGAGAGCAAAGUGAGAAUCUUUGCCGUCGAAAGCCUAAGGUUUCCUGAGGUAGGCUCGUCCACUCAGGGUAAGUCGGGACCUAAGCCGAGGACAGAAGUCGUAGGCGAUGGAGAUCAGGUUGAUAUUCCUGAACCGUCUUUAGCGUAAGACAGAGGCAGUGACACAGAAGGAUAGACAGAGCGGAGCGAUGGUAGACUCCGUCCAAGCGGUGAGGCCGUAGCGUAGUGAAGUACGCGCUGCAAGGCUGGGCCGUGAAGGGGACCGAAAACAAGUAGGGAAGCUGUUGAAUUCACGCUGGCGAGAAAAGCUGCUAUGGAGCGAAAAGGCGCCCGUACCGCAAACCGACACAGGUAGGCGAGGAGAGAAUCCUAAGACGAGCGGGAGAACCCUUGUUAAGGAACUCGGCAAAAUGACCCUGUAACUUCGGGAUAAAGGGAGCCUCGAGAGAGGCCGCAGAGAAUAGGCCCAAGCGACUGUUUACCAAAAACACAGGUCUGUGCGAAGUAGAGAUACGACGUAUACGGGCUGACGCCUGCCCAGUGCCGGAAGGUUAAGGGGAAGUGUCAGGGGGAGACCCCGAAGCACGGAACUUAAGCCCCGGUGAACGGCGGCCGUAACUAUAACGGUCCUAAGGUAGCGAAAUUCCUUGUCGGGUAAGUUCCGACCCGCACGAAAGGUGUAACGAUUUGGGCACUGUCUCAACGAGGGACCCGGUGAAAUUGAAAUACCUGUGAAGAUGCAGGUUACCCGCGACUGGACAGAAAGACCCCAUGGAGCUUUACUGUAACCUGACAUUGGGUUUUGUUGUAUUACGUACAGGAUAGGUGGGAGGCUUAGAAGGCUGGACGCUAGUCUGGCUGGAGCCGGCGUUGGGAUACCACCCUUGAUACAACGGAAUUCUAACCGAGAGAGUAACGAAAUCCGGGACAGUGUCAGGCGGGCAGUUUGACUGGGGCGGUCGCCUCCGAAAGAGUAACGGAGGCGCCCAAAGGUUCCCUCAGCGCGGCCGGAAAUCGCGCGAAGAGUGUAAAGGCAGAAGGGAGCUUGACUGCGAGCCAAACACGGCGAGCAGGUACGAAAGUAGGGCUUAGUGAUCCGGUGGUACCGAGUGGAAGGGCCAUCGCUCAACGGAUAAAAGCUACCCUGGGGAUAACAGGCUAAUCUCUCCCAAGAGUCCAUAUCGACGGGGAGGUUUGGCACCUCGAUGUCGGCUCAUCACAUCCUGGGGCUGAAGUCGGUCCCAAGGGUUGGGCUGUUCGCCCAUUAAAGUGGUACGUGAGCUGGGUUCAGAACGUCGUGAGACAGUUCGGUCCCUAUCCAUCGCGGGCGCAAGAGAUUUGAAGGGGUCUGCUCCUAGUACGAGAGGACCGGAGUGGACGGACCGCUGGUGUACCAGUUAUUCCGCCAGGAGUACAGCUGGGUAGCUACGUCCGGACUGGAUAAACGCUGAAAGCAUCUAAGCGUGAAGCCAUCCUUAAGAUGAGAUCUCUCACAGAGUAAUCUGGU